GCAGUGUCUACCUCAGAAGCAAUCGUCAAGGAAAAUUAGUGGAACUAUAUUCACAUACCCGAAGACGAGGGAAGAGACUAAACUAAUCUUGGGAAUUACACUUAACCCAGCCAGCAGCGCUAGCUGCUAAGCUGAAUCGCUCUGUUGGGUCUGUCAAUGGAAUGACAUGAACCCUAGGUGAAAAUCAGAGGAAGAUGAAGGGGAAGAGUUUGGAGAAGGCUCUGGAAAUUAACGCUGGAGUAUAUAAAUAACUUGGGUCGGGGCGGGUUAUAAAUUUGGGUCGGGCGGGUUUAAACAAUUGACUGGGUGGGCUAAUCUGGACCAAUGUGAGACUGCUCUCUGUUGGGUCUGUCAAAAUGGAAGGUAAAUGAAUAAUAGGAAACAAAGAUAUUUGAGCAUGUAACCACUCGCUGUGGCCAAACAAUGAUGUCCAUAGGUCCAUUUUCAUUGAUAUAGACACAAAGAAUGCUUCAUCUGGAAGGUUAUCUUCAUAUAACUUUUGCAAAUAAUAGAAUCACAGAAUGAAUAUACAGAUGGCGAACCCGAAUUACUGUUGACAAAAUAAACCUGCACGAACACCAAAGAGAUGCUUCAGAUAACAAAUGUCCAAGAUGCUCGGUAAAACAUUGCCUAACUGUCAUGUAACACAUGAUAUACAAAACAUAGAACCCCUCAAACUGGAUACUUGAACAACAAAUGUCCACUCAGGAUAUCAACAAAAAAGGAUACUCUUUGAUACAUGAAGAUACAGAAGUAUGACAGAACACCCAAGUUUUCUUAUUUUAGAUAGUAGAGAGGACAACCCCACUGUGUCAUUAUAUUCAGAAACAACACAACUAGUAUCAAUCUUGGACUAGCUAUCAUUUCAGUGUCCAGGCGAUGAAAUGAUCAAUCGUCUUUCUGAUGAAAAACAGUAGGCAUGCUAUUAUUACCAUUGAGAGCAGCAUCACUUGGACUAGAUAUCAUUUCAGUGUCCAGGCGAUGAAAUGAUCAAUCAUCUUUCUGAUGGAAAACAGUAGGCAUGCUAUUAUUACCAUUGAGAGCAGCAUGAUAUACCCGCUUCUCUGCCAAGCCAAUAUCUGAGAGUAUUAAAUUACCCUGCAAGAACAGAGGAACGCGAUCAUGCAUCAGUACAUAAGUGCACAGAGGAAUGAAA
This 1156-nucleotide long non-coding RNA is filed under the name Nicotiana benthamiana. Its description in RNAcentral is "long non-coding RNA (NBEN_LNC036236)". Lineage: Eukaryota; Viridiplantae; Streptophyta; Magnoliopsida; Solanales; Solanaceae. The record is from RNAcentral.